Molecule: unclassified non-coding RNA, 1075 nt
Filed under: Orussus abietinus
Lineage: Eukaryota; Metazoa; Arthropoda; Insecta; Hymenoptera; Orussidae
Description: sUZ domain-containing protein 1, transcript variant X4
Source: RNAcentral
ACGGAGAGAGAGAGGAUCAUCUUUGUUACGUUGGCUAAUCUGCUGGUUUUCACAAUACUUUCAGGUCGUUCGGGCUCAAAGAACGUCUUUUGUACUUUACGUUCACCCCGAAAUACGGAAGUACGUUGGCUCGUCCGCAGGUAGCCUCCUUGGGUUCACCCCGUCCUGUCAGACUCGGACAUUUCGGCUGCCGAUACCGAGCUGAGCUAUGUCAACCGUGGACGAGGUCUUUGACAGUUGGGAGGACAUCGAGGAAUCUGGGGUCCUGGAUAAAAAGUUAAAUAACCUCCAGUUGCACGCCUUGGAAGGACUGGAGGAAGUGAAGGCACCUAGGUUGUCGACGAAUCAUAAUCCCGAGACGAGGAUGAUUAUUCUGGGAGAAGAUGCCGUCCGGUCCCAGUACGUACCACCAAAGCCAACCGUUAAAAUCCUAAAGAGACCGACAAGAGAUUCUCAAGGUAGUGGCGACGGUCCUUUAAUGAACGGAGAUAGUAAACCUAAGCAACCGAUAAAGUCUCUGAAGCAGAGAGAACAGGAGUACGCAGAGGCAAGGAAAAGAAUCCUAGGAGAAGAGAGGAGUCCGGAGGAGAGGCCGGUCCAGGAGGUGAGCAAGGUGCAAUCGAAGGCAGCAGUUUCCGGAAGCAGUAGUAGUAGUAGUCUGCCUAUCAACGUAGUUCGCAUGCCCAUCGGACCGGACGGUACCCGAGGAUUCAACGUACGUAGGUAGCGCGCCAGUCAGGGACUUUCCCUCAUUACCCAUCUUUUACCUCUCCUCCUUGCUUCCUGUUACGGAGAGGAGGAGAGGCGGCUAUGAGGCCGACGGGAGUGACGAGCUUUGCGCUACUUAACAACCGGGAACUGUCUCCAACUGGCACUGCGCCCCGAGAGAAGGAAGGCUCGAUCCAUCGAGAAUAUUCGAGGCCGAGAACUAAGGCGCUUCCAGCAUCCAAUCGACUGGAUUCGCGUAAAGUUAUCACGUUCAAGUGUCCGUUUGACGCAAAUGAAUUGGCACCUUGAAAGAAUCAACGCGUACAUGGAUAAUGGCUUACCAUUGGUUGCGACGGUGCACUCUAAA